GGUCAUGAGUCUCAGUUUCAAGCCCCGGCUAACUGAGCGGCAACCCUCCACCACGGUGGGGUGCUCCGGGUGAGGACCAGAUCGAUUGCAAGGCGUAAUCGAUAAGCGUGGAUC
RNAcentral lists this non-coding RNA (114 nucleotides) under Actinomycetota bacterium. RNAcentral describes it as "Actinobacteria bacterium SAM-IV sequence". It matches the Rfam family "SAM (S-adenosyl methionine) riboswitch aptamer". From Rfam's summary of the family: SAM-IV is a mRNA element that regulates gene expression via direct sensing of S-adenosylmethionine (SAM or AdoMet). The record is from RNAcentral. Lineage: Bacteria; Bacillati; Actinomycetota.